GCGUUUUCCAGGCCCUGCCGCGCGCCGUCGUUCCCGGCGUGCCCUGCGCCGACAUGGCCGACAUGUUCGACGGGAUCGUGAUGGCCGAGCAGCGGUUCCACGGUGAGGGCUAUCAGGAGGGAUAUGCCGAAGGCAGCCACAUUGGGAUUGCUGAGGGAAGGAGGUACGGAUCGCUGCACGGUGCCAAGAUCGGGUCGGAGAUUGGCUGCUACCUUGGGUUUGCACUGACGUGGCGCUGCCUGCUCCAGAAAUGCACAGAUGAAAAGAGCAGCAGAAAGAUAAAGGCUCUGGAGUCAUUAAUAGGGAUGAUUCAGAAAUUCCCGUACGAAGACCCCACUUAUGAUAAGCUACAGGAAGAUCUGGAAAAAAUCAGAGGAAAAUUUAAACAGGUCAUUCCAGAGUUACGGAGCGAUGUGUGUGUGAUAUAAUAUCUCAUCCUGAUUGAAGAGAAAGGCUUUGGUUUGAAACAAAAGGCUUAGUAUUUUUUGUAAGAGCUGGACAAAUAUCAGAAAAAUCAUCAUUCCUCAAACUAAUGAGAAUGAAACAAAUGGUGUUGGAGAAAAAGGUGGAGAGACUUUUUCAAGGAGCUUUGACUUUGCCUGAAGUUCUUCAGCAGAAGUGUGGGAGAAAGAGAUCCCUGAAGACACCUGAACAAAUCCAUUAGAAGAAGAAGAAGAAGAAGAAGAAGGAGUCCUCUUAAAUGUUCACAUCUCGCACAUCAGUGGGCGUGCAGGAAAGGUCUGCUUCGUCCUCUACAGUCUUUGUUUCUGAAGAUACGUUGUGCUGCUGUGCCUGACGUAGACUGGAUUCCAGGAGGGAUUCAAUCUGUUCUUGGCAGGCCCGUAAACAAUCCUAGAGGAGGUUGAAUGGAUGGAGAGAAAGACCCAAGAGUCCUUUAGAAACACGGUAAGGCCACAGACUAAAACAGCAUUUCUUUAGAAAAAGCAGGGGGAAUAUAAUCAGGUUAUCUGGGAGAGCUGCAGGCCGAGAGGAGGGCGGGGAGAGCAAGAGAAACCCCAAACAGCGACAUGAUUGGGACGAGCCACCCAAUUUCCUGCAGGAUGCCAGCCUGGAUUGAGACUUUAGCAACUAACUCUUGCCAUCUGCUGCGGAUGGAAUGGCCUAGGGGAGUAUCCCCACGGACACACCAUCACUGCCCACAGACCUACAGCUGAACGUGGUGGAUGCCCCACUACACUGAGAUGUGUUUUAACUAAGCUGGGCAGGACCACAGGAAGAUGUACAUUUUCUGCCUGUGCUGUUCUCUGAAAGCCCAUUGGUCCUAAAAUCGUGCUUUCUACCUUUACCCCAGGAAUGCUUUGGCAGUGCAGUCUGCUGGAAAUGAUGGCCAUAAGCAGUGAAUAUUUUCUCAGGCUAAAUUCCACUAAUAUGAACUUCUUACAUAGAAAUGCCAUAUAUAUAUUUGGAUGUACAUGCCCAAAGGUUCCUGCCAACUGCUGCUGUGUCCAACAGUGGGCAGCUCAACUUGGCUAAGCCUUUCCUAACUCUGAAAGCAUCUGUACAUCCAGAAUGAUGUACUGGACUGCAUGACCCCAAAAGGGAGAGAUCUUUCAGGAGCACCACUAAACUCCUCCAUAAUCUUUCAUUACCAGCUGCAGCCAAGCUUUCUGUUUGCUACCACAUUCACCUUGACAUCUCAGACAGGGUGGGAUCUUUUUUCCCCUCACUUCCAAAGCAUUUUCUCAGAGCUGGAUGUGCACAACAAUCCUCCUGAGGGAGGGUGCAAGGGCCUCGCUGCUUUCACAGACUUCGCUUGUGAAUCAAAAGCACAAAGCGCCAAGGAGGAUCAUGUCUGUGGUGGGGAAAGGUAACUUCCCCCAGGCAUUAAACCAUUCCAUGAGUAGUCAUAUCUAAAUCACAGCAAUUAGAACUGGAGAAGGCCUGCUGGUCCAACUUUCUGCGAGCUGUGGAGCCACUGGAACAACACGGGAACGGUGCCUUGCGCAGGCAAAACAAUCCCACAAUAUUUUGCCACAACUCCUCCAGCCAGCUGUUUACUCGUAUCUUUAUAACAAACAUUGCAGGCUUUUUCCCCCCAACAUAUUUAACUCUGUGUAUUAAGGACUUUGAAGUUUCCUUUCAGCAUUGCCUUCUCUGAUUUAACCUAUGACAUGUGUUAGCCCUUGCGGUGAACCCAGUCUUCCAUGAUAAAUUGCCGUCAAAAGUGUUAGGAUGUGCAUGACUGAGAAUGAAUGUUGUUUUCCUGAGAGGGUGACCUGCCUGCUGUUUUCUUUAUUUCCCAGUUUCAAUUCUGCCUUCAUUCAGAGGCUUCUUGUGUGAUCUGCCAGCUUUUCACUGAUUCCACUACCACAAGAAUCUCCUCUGCCACCAAUGAGGGCACAUGGCAUUUGGGGUAAAAUAAGAUUAGAAACCCAAGCAAACAAUUCUCUGCAAGUCCUUUCUGAGAGAGAGGGAGGUUAAUCCUACCUCUAAGCAGAUCAGACCAUCAGUUACAGCUCACUGAAAACACAUAACCUAUGACCUUUCCUGGUUUAAACCCUAGUGUAAUAUUUCCUCUUGACAGAGACACACAGCGUUUUAAAUGACAAAAAGAAACGCCUCAUAUCCUAAAGUCAUCAUGCCUUUGGCUCCUGCAUACCUCAGGCCUGCACAAUAAGGUCUCUAUGAAGUCCUUUCCCCCCUCCCCCCUCAAGAUAUGAUGGAUCAAUCCUGAACUGUAAAACCUUCUCCUCGUCCUGUACCACAUCCCUCGGUCACACUUGGAAUUCGAUGUGUUCAAGAGGAGCACCUGGUUUUACAAACCCAGGCGCUUCUGAGGAUAAUUCUUGUUUUAACAAGGUGGCAUGUUCAGCCUUCCAUGCUCAAAGGAAAUUUAUGUUCAGAGCAAAAUGAACCCUUCUGGGUUUGGGGUGGGUUUUUUUUUGGUUGGUUUUUGUUUGUUUGUUUGUUUUUUGUUUUCUGUUUUUGUGGUGGGGGAGUGGAUUGUCUGGUAAGUUUUGAUGGGAAUUUUGUGGGAGGUUUUUUUGGGGGCUUUUUUUGGUUUUUUUUUUAAUCCUAACCAUUUGCAUACAGCAUGUUUGAGCUCUGAAAACUAAAACCAUUCAAAAGAAUUUCUAUAAAUACCUAUUGUUCUCCCUCUGGAGUCCAGUUAUGAAUAAUUGCAUAGGACUAUGUAAUUUAAAGGUACUUUCUGACCACAGAAUUUUUUUCCUUUGAAAUUCUCAAGCGUGCAGCAUGUUGUAACUGUAUUUUUUUUAAAACUUAAUCUUUACAAUUUAUUACAAACAGACUGUUUGAAGCUACACUUGAAUGAGAACUAAUUUUUUAAUGUUUUAAGGAUUUUGUUCAUUGCUUAUUCACAUGACUAUUAGAUAAAUAGUUUGCCUGCAGGAAUGCAUUUAGAGCUAGCAAAAAUACCUGCAAAAUAUAAAAUUCUCUACGAACGACCUCAGCAAAGCUGUUUCCAUUCUCAGUGCUUCUGAGCACUGAAAAGCAAAUACAGAACUUGUGCAUUACUCUGAUAACUUCUCCCAACAACUUUUCUGCUUCACUACCCAAAUUUUCAAUGCCCACAGUUUGUUCAAGGUCAUAAACCCUUCCUGGAUUAAUUAAGCUCCUCAGUGGAGGGAAAAAAAAAAAAAAAAAAAGAGACUUUCUAGCUUAACUGAUGUGGUGAAAUACCUUCAAGACACAGUAGACAUGAUCAGACUCCAGGGUCAGAUAGCAAAGGAAACAAACAACAACAACAAAAAGAAACUGCUUGGAAAUCCUUUGUUACUGCCUGACCCGUCCUGGAUAACAAGCACAUGUUUGAAGGUGCCUCUGAGAAGGGGCAGGCAGGAGGCGAAUUCCAGUGUACUAACAGACAGCGUGGAGACCCAAUCUAAUCUAGUUUAGCAAAUUUCUGGCCUGGAAAUGAAUGUCAGGUAAAAUUCCAUCUGUUUGGAUGAUGGGGUCAAGAAUAGAAUGAUGGAAGACAGCCCAAGGCUUCUAAUUGUGAUUAUCUGACUUCUAAUUACCCCUGAUCAAAGGCGAAAUGGGAAAUUGGACUCCUACCAACGUAAACAUGAACCAUAAAGGAAUUCCAAUCAGGUGAUAUUCAUUUUACUUUAGGUUCAGCUUUCUCUGAGAUGAGAGGUAAAAAAGUGUAAUUAUGUAACCUGAAAUCCAACAGACCAGCUAACAGACAAUCAGCAUCUUAAUAUUUCAAGGCAAUCCAAUACAAAGCAUAUCUGCUUGUGAAGCCUGACAAGGGGAAGCAUCACUGGGGAAGAGCACAGUUCACACACGUGCUACUGAAACAGGCUAAUAGGAAGGGCAUUUGAUAGCAUGGAUUGCAUAGGUACAUCUUAUGGGAAAGACUCUCUGCAGGGGAACUGUGUUGGGUGUGAAACCACCAGACUUCUCUGCUCAGAGCAACUGUAGUGAUGAGAGCUGCUGUUCCCUUAUUCCACUACAACAGUGUAUGUACACACACGUAUAAUUUUAUGAUGCUAAUUUUCUGUAGCAUCCCAUAUAAAAAUCCUUAUCCCUACUUCCAACUGCUCCAACACGUGCCUUAUAUUUAGCACUGAGAGCUGGAGGGGAGUUGCUUCCUUUUAAAGCUGACAAUUAAGCUCAGGUCAGACUGUGGCCUUGCACUGACUAUGGACAAUAAAAAAAUUAAAUAAGCAAAAAUUCGCUUUCUUGCUAAAAGAACGCUUGUUUUCUUUUUAAAGAGCUCUGUCACCAGCUAAGUCAAGUUCACAUAAGGACGUGCUGUUGUUCUCCAAGAUGUGAGAGAAUCUACUUCAAUGCUCCCUAUCAGGAAUGAUUAAAUAAUGUUGUUUGAAUCAAAAUACUGCCUCAACAGAUAGCAAUCCUAGUGUUUCCCCUCAGUACCUGCUUCAAACAUCUCACACUGGACAGUGGCCAACCCAUACACUGAAAUAUCUGCAUUGUUCACUAAAAGCAUUACAUGUACAUAUCAAACUGAGCAGUGUAUUAUUUCAGCAUUUCAGCUUCUCAUAAUAUUUCACAUUUCAGCACUGUAUUAUUACUUUAGCCACAGUAAUAUAAAUGGCAAAAUAACACUCAGUGCUGAGGCACUGUUAAGGUGAUCAACAUAAUAAGCUGAGAAAUUGUAUUUUUCAGCAAUUGUUUCACAUGGUCUAUCAAAGGUGAAGUAAUUCUUUUGUGAAUAUUCAGUUAUGAUGCAUUCAUCUUUCCAGAAAUCCCUCAAUCCAGUCAACAAAGUCCCGUGAGACAAACCUAGUUUUGCAGUGGCUGGACUAGUACAGUUCUCUGUGCAUUUAAAAUUAUUAACAUGCAAAAUAAUUUAACAGCAUCUCAAAGAUUCUGCCGCUAACCACAGAGUUGUCUUUAUUUGACUCAUUGUCCAGCGCUUGGAGACCUCACAAGAACCUUUUUAAAGCAUCUAUUUAUUGGUCUUCCACAUUGUUACAAAACAAAGCUCAACUCUGCCCCAACUUCACACACCAUUAUGACAUGGAUCAUUGACUUUAGGUCUUCCUUGUAGGCUCCCUUCCUGGCCCAUUCACUCAUGAAAGGUUUAUUGCUCACUAGUUACUGAUGUGCAUCUCCUGGAAGCUGCAGGGCAAAAUGAGAGUCCUGUGAGGACCAUCUACCUUGUCAGAAAGUCGUGGGACAAGCAUUUGUUCCAAAAAGGAAUUCAAUACCAGCUACUGUGCAGGUCUAGCACGUAAUAAACCAAAUUAGAUCAUUAGAACUCUUUUAAGAAGGGCUUUUUCACACCACUUGGCACAAUAAAAGGCCUCGAGAAUGGUCAAAGAUAAGGUCAGAGAUACCACGAGGUCUCAGUAACUAUUUCCUCGUCUUAUUCUCGAAGUUUUGUUUUACACAGACUCCUGGUUUAAUUACCCACAGCCAAACAGCCCCUGCAAGGUCCUGAGUGGAUGCCGGGCUUUGUCAGAUAACGCCUCCCUCACACACAUUAGAGCUGGAUGUGGCACUGCAGCAGCGUAAUCACAGAUUAUUAACGGAUGUAAUGACCGCCAAAUAACCAGAAUGGACAACACAAGAGAAACACAUUCAAAAACCCCACUCGGUGCUUUGACUUUUACCAGGAUUUACUGUCAGAUUAGCUACUAUGCAACGAGCAGGAGUUCAUUCUUAAAAAAACAGGAGAUCAACCAAGAGAAAGAGUCACUUACCGGAUCACAUUUGAUAACUUGUGAUAGGAAAUGUGUGAGGCAUUGAUAGGAGAGGAAAGUGUUAGUGUUCCCCAGAUGCAGGCCUUGCACAGCUGCUACCACACUGCCAGCUGCGAUCAUGGAAGGUGGGUUUGAAAUAAAUUUAAUAUCUGUAUGAAGAAAGGAGAGAAAAAAAAAAAAGAAAAAAAAAAAAAAAAAGACUGAAAUGAUUGCUUUAGGAGAAGCCUGUCCAUACACAUACAUUCUUCUAAGCAGCAUGGCUUCAGCUGCCAACUAUUGCAUCCCAAAAGGCAAGGGAAAACUGUGAGCAGAAAGGUGCCUCCUGCUCCAAACUGUUACAGGUCCGAACCUGUAAACACUUUUAUCCCCACGAGCAACCGUAGUGCAGUGAGUAGCCCUUCCUAGCACUGGGCCUGGGAGGCCAUUCAUCACUUGGAGGUGUUUUUUAUCGUAAGCAGGGCCCUCAUUCUUCAAAUGUUAAAAUGCUUUGCUCAUGUGGAUAACGCCACUGGGGGUCAAUGGCACUAUCCAUCUGAGAAAACCUGUUCCCGUUGGGAAGUGCUUCGCAGGAUCAGACCCUAGGUGCACUCUCAUAACAAGUCCUCAGGCCCUUUAAAGCAGAAACCUUUGCACUGACAUCCAAAGGAAUAUUGCUUUAAUGAACAACAACAUCCACAAAAAGAAAGAAAAGAGAAAGGCUGCUUAACCCUGUCAGGAGGCAGAUAAUCCAUAUUUAAAUUACGGUUUCAUCUUAAAAACGCUUUGUCUCAACCUAGUCUCUUGUCAGUGGCUGCCAUCCAUCCUGGCAACAGGGAUUUAAUGUAAAUGUGGCAUAACUAAGUGACGGGGGUCCCAAGAAUUGGCGGACAAUCAGUUACAUUCUGAUGUGACACCAUGCUGACAAGAGGCUGGGCCCCCUUCCAGACUGCAUUGCUGUAGGUCUCUCCACAAAGCCACUCCCAUGAUUCCUUAAGGGGCUAUCUCUGCCAUUUAGCAUCUCUUUCGUUUUGUUGUUUUGUUUUGAGGGUGUUGUUUUGUUUUGUUUUUUUUUAAUAAUAAUAACCCCCAUUUUAAUUGCUAA
Molecule: RNA transcript, 7236 nt
Organism: Myiozetetes cayanensis
Lineage: Eukaryota; Metazoa; Chordata; Aves; Passeriformes; Tyrannidae
Gene: LTO1
Gene name: LTO1 maturation factor of ABCE1
Exons: 7
Source: RefSeq, a predicted model, not a curated record